CCUACGUGAGGCAGCAGUGGGGAAUAUUGCACAAUGGGGGAAACCCUGAUGCAGCGACGCCGCGUGCGUGAAGAAGUAAUUCGUUAUGUAAAGCUCUAUCAGCAGGGAAGAAAAUGACGGUACCUGAGUAAGAAGCCCCGGCUAACUACGUGCCCGCAGCCGCGGUAAUAAGUAGGGGGCAAGCGUUAUCCGGAUUUACUGGGUGUAAAGGGAGCGUAGACGGCAGUGCAAGUCUGGAGUGAAAGGCGGGGGCUCAACCCCCGGACUGCUCUGGAAACUGUACGGCUGGAGUGCAGGAGAGGUAAGUGGAAUUCCUAGUGUAGCGGUGAAAUGCGUAGAUAUUAGGAGGAACACCAGUGGCGAAGGCGGCUUACUGGACUGUAACUGACGUUGAGGCUCGAAAGCGUGGGGAGCAAACAGGAUUAGAUACCCGUGUAGUC
This 440-nucleotide ribosomal RNA is filed under the name uncultured bacterium. RNAcentral's name for it is "partial 16S ribosomal RNA". It matches the Rfam family "Bacterial small subunit ribosomal RNA", at positions 338 to 795 of the family's 1533-position model. The record is from RNAcentral.